CAUCGCUUGAACCCAGGAGGAGGGAGGUGCAGUGAGACGAGAUCGCGCCACUGCACUCCAGCCUGGGCGACAGAGCGAAACUCCAUCUCAAAAAAAAAAAAAAAAAAAAAUCCUUAGGGACCGCCCAGAGGCUGGUGACACCUGCAAUGGUACCUCCAUGGCCGCGCCUCUGAGGUCACCGCUCCAGAAGGUCCCAGGCCGGCGUGGAAACCUAUUACUAAGUGGGGCGGGUGGACACCAGCAGGUCCCGCCCUAAAGGAGUCCCGCGGACGCUUGGGCCUCAGUUCCUCUUUCCUGCCCAAGUAUCUCCCCAGCUCUGACGAAACAGGCAACUUCCAGACUGUGGCGUUAGCUCAGCGACUGCAGUGAGCCGCCCGGAAGAUCCUGGUCCCGUCAGCCAGCUGACCCACAUGCGUUGCGGAGGCGCUGACCACCCCGCUUCGCUGGCUGCUGGGGGGUCACGUGAGGACCUCGGGGUCACGUGAGGUCCUCGGGCGCCGCAGGGAGGGCGGCAUCCAAGUCUUUCUGCGCGUGCGCGAGCGUCCGCGGUCACUUACGUAGAACAGUCUCAAAUCGCACCGUUAGUACCGGCCCCCUUUGCCUUUCUGCCUUGCCCCUCCGAGUCCCGACCCAAGAUCCCAAGUAAUCGUCUUCCCCCUGCACCAGGGCCGGGACCAGGCAGCCAAGAGACGCGGAGACAGACUACUGGGACUGCGACGUCUCCUCUCCUGUUCGCUGCGAUAUGCCGGCGUCGUGUUGAGCGGGCUGCGGACACAGACAGCCUGCCCGGCCCCACUGAGUGUUUGAUCCCCAUCCUCGCAGCUCUCUAGAGGACCAGAGUUGGCGGUGCAGCCCAGCGGAGCUUCGAAGCGACAUGUCCUCCAACAUUUUAGCCCAGCAAGUCUUGUGGCCCCUGAGGAUAUAACCCAGAGAGGGCUGCUUUCUGGGAUUUCUCGGCUGUGGUUCAAGUGGAGUCCACACAGUUGAGACCCUGUCUGCCCUGGGCAGCUUUCUUGACCCUUGGGGGACCAGCUCACAAUAAAUCCUAGGCUUCUGUUGCUCCUUGCUGCCUAUCCAUAAGCAAUAAACCUGCUUCA
RNAcentral lists this long non-coding RNA (1097 nucleotides) under Pan troglodytes (chimpanzee). Its description in RNAcentral is "long non-coding RNA NONPTRT017395". Lineage: Eukaryota; Metazoa; Chordata; Mammalia; Primates; Hominidae. The record is from RNAcentral.